GCAGACACUUCCAUAUAACACUUAGCUGGGUAAAUUGCUUCUCGUUCUUCAGGGACUCCGCCGGAGAGGCUGCGAGGUGGUGGGAAGGCAGAGGCUGCUGAUCUUUUAAACAGCACCGCAGGGCUUGUGCUCACUGUCCUUUAGUAAAGAGCAUGGGGAUCUGAACCGCUGUUCUCUCAUCCAUCCGUGGCCUCGGUCUCCUUUCCACAAACAGCCAGCUGGCUGUCAAGUGUCAAGAGUCACUUGUUUGAUUUAGAUUCUUCCCAAAAUGAACUCCUUCAAAAUAACAGUUUGACAAGAAGCCCAAUGUGAUCACAAGAAUGAUGGAAACGGACAAAGAGGCUUAAGAAGCUCCUGGAAAGAGGAGGCAUUUUCUUAGUGGAGUCAAAGAAGAGCGGCCAAAACAAAUGCGAUUACACUCAGCCAGGAGCUGAGUCCUCCCUGGUGGAUGGCCAAGCACCCUUGGCCUUUCCCAGGUGAGCCCUGAGGGCCCAGUGGCUAAGGAGACCCUCCCGGCAGGCAGGACAGGUGGGUCUGCGACCUGGGACCUCAGACACAGCCCGUGCCCUUUCUGCUGAGGAUAGUGGUGUGACUGCCACCAUCUUCUUGGAUACAUGUGUUCUUCUCAUCAGAACUUCACCAGAUCUCAUGUACUGAUGACAGAGGACUCGCCAGGAUUUUGUUAAUCACGCGAGACUGUGGCUUUGUCGCUCACAGAAUGAUUUGAUUUGUAUCUACUGGCCAAUGUUUUCUCAUAGAAUCCUAAAAAUGUGAUAAAAAGCUAAGGAAAGAGAUCCUCGAAGGAGUAUUGUUAUUUCCUCCUCAUAUAUUUUCCAAUAUGGAUGAUAUUAACUCUCUCUUCUCAAGUCAAAGGGAAAUAAUGCGGUUUUUAAAGAUUUGGAGAUCAUCUGGCUGAUUCUUUCCGCCUUGUGCAUAAAUAAACCGAGCCUCCUAGAGGGACUUAGCUGUGAAGGGGCAGAGCUGACAACCGUUUCUCCUGCCCUCCGUCCUUGCUCCUUGCACAUGAGAUCAACCGGAUACUUAGUGGUGAGCUGGGGGUUUCACGGCACAGCGGCAAGCUUCUGAGUUGUCACUGAGCUGUGAAGUUUAGUAUGUGUGAGCAGAGCUGAUCAGAGCAGUAAAGGCAAACUUAAGAGCCAGACGAGGAGGAGGAGGCAGCUCCUGCUGACCAGCUCCAUUUUUUGUCAGCACAAGAAGAAACAAUUCCCCUGUUCCUCGGUUGCGCUGUUCUCUUCUCACUCCAUCUGAAGUCUCAGGGCUGGCUGGUUCUCCACAGACUCCGGGAACUGUGUCCGGACUCAUCCCCUACUCUGCACAUGGGUUGGAAUUCCACGUACACACGGAGCUCAAGAGCCCUUUGAAGAAACAACAGCAAGCUCGGGUUGGCUGUUUUUCUUACCAGGCGGGGCCUUCGAUCUAACCCUUUCGCUUUGUCUUUUCUUGGCUUUGUCAAUCAUUUAUAUUUACCCUGGAGUGAAAAAUAAAAUUCUUAGCAGAAGGACCAUGGUGAAUCAACCAGUUUUGUUCACUGUCCGCAGAGAACAGGAACGAAGACUGAGAAUUAAAGUUUUUCUGCUAGAUCUUUCUGCAUUCGUGGCUGAGGACUCAGCUUCCAUUCCCGGAGUGAGGUACGUGCUUGCCAUUUCUAAGGUCUCUUCCUACGCUAAGGCAAAUGGGCUGCUGUGGGAACCAUCACUCUGGAGGAUGAUGUCAGAGAAGCAGCAGCUGCACUUCCUAAGCAGGACAUUAGUGCCGAGCCCCAGAGCCUGUGGCCACUUCCAGUGUAGUUCAUCUGUGAUUUUUAAAGAUUGUGCAGUGGUUUACUCAUGUAAGACUUUUUAACCAUGUGGCCAUGAUGGACAGAUUUCUGAUUUUCUGGCUUUGAUCAAAGAAAGUGGGUGUGGACAAGCACCACUUCCAUCUGUGUGGACAGACUGACCACAUGUAGUCACUUGCCAGAGAGACUGAGGAGGUGCUUGCAGGUAGUGACAGCAGUAGCCUUAGGAUCUGCCCCUGCUGAGACCUCCUUAGGAGCAUCCUUAAGUGAAACUGCACGAGGGCUCCAGGAAAACAAUGGGCCUGGCUCUCCGUGGAGCAGCCUCAGGGCCUGGAAAAGAUGAAGACCGAGGAGCUCUGGGUUCUUGCAAAGACUGAUCCUUAAACCAUCUGAGUUUGAGGAGCUCACUUGCAUCCCAUACCAUGUCAAUCCCAUUGUACUGUGAGGACUUGAGGUUUCUCCCUUUCAUGUGAUUCUGUUCUCAAGAGGAGAAACAAACAAACAAACAAAAACAAACCAAAAAACAAGCACAUGAACAGCAAUGACUGAUCAGGGUCCCGGAAGCCAGUGGUGAGCAUCUCCUCCAUUCUCUUUGUCUCCGCCGGCUGGGCCGAGAAGAGUGGUGGAUGGUGAAGGGUCGGUUCCCUCUGCAGAGAGCGGCUGCCCAGGCUCCGGGUGGCUGGGCUUCUCCAGGCCUGCACAUGAUCUUCAGAUGCCCUGUGUAGGUUGGGCAGGUCUGGCAGAGCUUUCAGUGCAUGCUGUGUCACCAGGGAACGGUCCUAAUUGCCUGAGGCAGAUGCCGUCUAGGACUUUCAGGAGAGGGAGGAUCAUUUAUUCAGCUUGCUCUAGAAGUUUUCAAGCUGUCAUUAAAAACGAGGAAUAAAAGCAAGAUAGAAAAUGAGGCAGUUUCACGACUGCCUGAAGAGUAUCAGGAUGUUACACGGGCAACGAGGAUGACCAGAAACAAAACAACAGGCCCGGUUUCCAAGAGAAUCCAGGCAGAGCCUGGGGAGGUGCCUUCACCUGCCCCUCUUUCACUCGGUGGGGUGCUGAGAUGUCCCCCUGCCUUCGCUUGACCAUCACGAUGACAAACAACGUAAGCAGGGGGCAAUUCUUGUUUUAGUUUCAAAUCAUAUUUCAUUGUAAUCUCCAAAUAGCACAUAAAGGAUUGCAUUCAAAGAUAUUUGUCUCAUUUUAAUGAAAUGAAUACUAUUUUCAAAAUUUCCAUGGGAUUACUUUGAAAAUUACUUUGUCAAAGUUUUGUGUCUUUGGUUGGACUGUUACUGGCAUCAUCCCCCGAGUCUUGUGCCACAUAUUUUUCAUCGAGGAUCUCAUUUAACCUUCGAAGGCUGUGAAUCAGGCACCAGAUAACCAUCUCCAGGUGAGAGAUUUGGCUUGCCCGUGAUAGACUGGCGGAGCUGCGGGGAAAGUGAAGCUUUGGAACCCAAAGCUACACUUUUCUAGCUUGUUCUUCUCUAACUACAGUCUUAAAGUGUUGCUUUUAAGGGAAAAGUUUUGUAAACUCAGAAAUAUCAGUGAUCGUAUUUAACAUUAACCACAGGAACCAUGGGGUAGAGACCUUUUCUCCUGAACAAGAACUAACUUCCAGAUUCUUGUACACAACCAGGCUGCAUGAUCUUUCCAGAAGCCGGGGGCAGAGGAAUGCGUGGGAUAUUCAUUGAGCCUUGCAUGAUGGAAACAGCGUAAGAGGUGACACACGGGGUGUGAAGGGAAGGGAAUGAAUGAUGCCUGUGUGCGUGAGGGAAGUGGAGAUCCAAGGGCCUGUGAACCGCCCCGGGGACAGUCGUGCUGACAGAGGACAGAGACCCAGUCCUGGGCCCUGGGCAUUUCUUUCUUCUUUUUGGAAGGCAGCCAGAGGCCUCCGACAGCACUAGUUGAAUGUGGGGUGCAACAGCACACACAGCUGCUGUCUGUCUCGUGGGUCAACUGCAUCGUCUCAGGGCGGGAUCAUCGCCGCUCCUGCUGCUGCUCCCUGAUGCGCACUUCCGUGCCACACGGUCACCUGCGUGUGCAGCAGUUCAUCUGUCAUCCCUCUCACGCACCUGUCACCGCAGCAGCAGCUUGCACCAACAACACUGCCGUCCAUUACAAGCGGGCUCUUUCCUCUUUUUAUUGAUCAACUCUACUCUCACCUCCCUGUCACUCUGCCCUUUCUGCUUCUAAUGUUUGGCUCCACAAAUCACAGACUGGUGUCUGUGAAAAACAAGUCGUUUCCUAAAUGUCUCUCUGGAACCCCAAAGUGCUGUCUCAGCCAGCAGUUGGUGAUGAAUGAGGUUUCCUCCCCUUGCAGUUGUUAAUGUAUAUGUGGCCUUAAAAAAAAUGCUUCUGUUAUAGUUUCAGUGGUUUUGUGCAGCUUAUUAAAAAUUCUGUCCAGAAAGA
Molecule: long non-coding RNA, 4198 nt
Organism: Cavia porcellus (domestic guinea pig)
Lineage: Eukaryota; Metazoa; Chordata; Mammalia; Rodentia; Caviidae
Exons: 2
Source: RefSeq, a predicted model, not a curated record